Molecule: ribosomal RNA, 406 nt
Filed under: uncultured bacterium
Lineage: Bacteria
Description: partial 16S ribosomal RNA
Rfam family: Bacterial small subunit ribosomal RNA
Source: RNAcentral
AUUGAACGCUGGCGGCAGGCCUAACACAUGCAAGUCGAACGAUUGGCGGACGGGUGAGUAAUGUCUGGGAAACUGCCUGAUGUCGGGGGAUAACUACUGGAAACGGUCGCUAAUACCGCAUACCAUCAGAUGUGCCCAGAUGGGCUUGGCUUGUUGGGGGGGUAACGGCUCACCAAGGCGACGAUCCCUAGCUGGUCUGAGAGGAUGACAAGCCACACGGGAACUGAGAAACGGUCCAGACGCCUACGGGAGGAAGCAGUGGGGAAUAUUGGACAAUGGGCGCAAGCCUGAUGCAGCGAUGCCGCGUGGAUGAAGAAGGCCUGCGGGUUGUAAAGUACUUUCAGCGGGGAGGCGGUACCCGCAGAAGAAGCACCGGCUAACUCCGUGCCAGCAGCCGCGGUAAUAC